UGGUAGAUGCACCCUGAUUAUUUGCCUCGGUUUCUGACCGAGGUUUUUUAUU
This is a non-coding RNA of Leptolyngbya sp. NIES-2104, 52 nucleotides long. Lineage: Bacteria; Bacillati; Cyanobacteriota; Cyanophyceae; Leptolyngbyales; Leptolyngbyaceae. The record is from Rfam.